This 460-nucleotide ribosomal RNA is filed under the name uncultured bacterium. RNAcentral describes it as "partial 16S ribosomal RNA". It matches the Rfam family "Bacterial small subunit ribosomal RNA", at positions 338 to 795 of the family's 1533-position model. The record is from RNAcentral.
CCUACGGGAGGCUGCAGUGAGGAAUAUUGGUCAAUGGACGAGAGUCUGAACCAGCCAAGUAGCGUGAAGGAUGACUGCCCUAUGGGUUGUAAACUUCUUUUAUAAAGGAAUAAAACGAGGCACGUGUGCCUUUUUGCAUGUACUUUAUGAAUAAGCAUCGGCUAACUCCGUGCCAGCAGCCGCGGUAAUACGGAGGAUCCGAGCGUUAUCCGGAUUUAUUGGGUUUAAAGGGAGCGUAGAUGGGUUGUUAAGUCAGGUGUGAAAGUUUGGGGCUCAACCGUAAAAUUGCAAUUGAUACUGGCAGUCUUGAGUGCAGUUGAGGUAGGCGGAAUGCGUGGUGUAGCGGUGAAAUGCUUAGAUAUCACGAAGAACCCCGAUUGCGAAGGCAGCUUACUAGACUGUGACUGACAUUGAUGCUCGAAAGUGUGGGUAUCGAACAGGAUUAGAUACCCGUGUAGUC